This 483-nucleotide ribosomal RNA is filed under the name uncultured bacterium. Its description in RNAcentral is "partial 16S ribosomal RNA". It matches the Rfam family "Bacterial small subunit ribosomal RNA", at positions 28 to 523 of the family's 1533-position model. The record is from RNAcentral.
GACGAACGCUGGCGGCGUGCUUUACACAUGCAAGUCGAACGGUGAAGGUGGAGCUUGCUCCGCCGGAUCAGUGGCGAACGGGUGAGUAACACGUGGGCAACCUGCCCCUAACUUUGGGAUAACUACUCGAAAGAGUAGCUAAUACCGGAUAUGAGGUCUGUAGGCAUCUAUGGAUUUGGAAAGUUUUCCGGUUAGGGAUGGGCCCGCGGCCUAUCAGCUUGUUGGUGAGGUAGUGGCUCACCAAGGCGACGACGGGUAGCCGGCCUGAGAGGGCGACCGGCCACACUGGGACUGAGACACGGCCCAGACUCCUACGGGAGGCAGCAGUGGGGAAUAUUGCGCAAUGGGCGAAAGCCUGACGCAGCAACGCCGCGUGCGGGAUGAAGGCCUUCGGGUUGUAAACCGCUUUCAGCAGGGAAGAAGCGAAAGUGACGGUACCUGCAGAAGAAGCACCGGCUAACUACGUGCCAGCCGCCGCCGUAA